Molecule: transfer RNA, 91 nt
Filed under: Microcella frigidaquae
Lineage: Bacteria; Bacillati; Actinomycetota; Actinomycetes; Micrococcales; Microbacteriaceae
Description: Chryseoglobus frigidaquae tRNA-OTHER
Rfam family: transfer-messenger RNA
About the family: Bacterial tmRNA, also known as 10Sa RNA or SsrA, is named for its dual tRNA and mRNA-like properties. Its role is to liberate the mRNA from a stalled ribosome. To accomplish this part of the tmRNA is used as a reading frame that ends in a translation stop signal.
Source: RNAcentral
GGAGCCGAGCAGAACGAUUCAGCAGACUACGCCCGUAGAAGGCUCCGGCUCACAGCGAUGGACGGGGGUUCAAUUCCCCCCAUCUCCACCA